This 497-nucleotide ribosomal RNA is filed under the name uncultured bacterium. RNAcentral's name for it is "partial 16S ribosomal RNA". It matches the Rfam family "Bacterial small subunit ribosomal RNA", at positions 28 to 507 of the family's 1533-position model. The record is from RNAcentral.
GAUGAACGCUGGCGGCGUGCCUAAUACAUGCAAGUCGAGCGAACAGACGAGGAGCUUGCUCCUCUGACGUUAGCGGCGGACGGGUGAGUAACACGUGGAUAACCUACCUAUAAGACUGGGAUAACUUCGGGAAACCGGAGCUAAUACCGGAUAAUAUAUUGAACCGCAUGGUUCAAUAGUGAAAGACGGUUUUGCUGUCACUUAUAGAUGGAUCCGCGCCGCAUUAGCUAGUUGGUAAGGUAACGGCUUACCAAGGCAACGAUGCGUAGCCGACCGGAGAGGGUGAUCGGCCACACGGGAACUGAGACACGGUCCAGACUCCUACGGGAGGCAGCAGUAGGGAAUCUUCCGCAAUGGGCGAAAGCCUGACGGAGCAACGCCGCGUGAGUGAUGAAGGUCUUCGGAUCGUAAAACUCUGUUAUUAGGGAAGAACAAAUGUGUAAGUAACUAUGCACGUCUUGACGGUACCUAAUCAGAAAGCCACGGCUAACUACGUG